RNAcentral lists this ribosomal RNA (279 nucleotides) under uncultured bacterium. RNAcentral's name for it is "partial 16S ribosomal RNA". It matches the Rfam family "Bacterial small subunit ribosomal RNA", at positions 506 to 784 of the family's 1533-position model. The record is from RNAcentral.
UGCCAGCCGCCGCGGUAAUACGGAGGGUGCAAGCGUUAUCCGGAUUCACUGGGUUUAAAGGGUGCGUAGGCGGGCUUAUAAGUCAGUGGUGAAAUCCUUCCGCUCAACAGAAGAACUGCCAUUGAAACUGUAAGUCUUGAGUAUGAUUGAGGUAAGCGGAAUGUAGCAUGUAGCGGUGAAAUGCAUAGAUAUGCUACAGAACACCAAUAGCGAAGGCAGCUUACCAAGUCAUUACUGACGCUGAGGUACGAAAGCGUGGGUAGCGAACAGGAUUAGAUA